RNAcentral lists this ribosomal RNA (494 nucleotides) under uncultured bacterium. Its description in RNAcentral is "partial 16S ribosomal RNA". It matches the Rfam family "Bacterial small subunit ribosomal RNA", at positions 28 to 507 of the family's 1533-position model. The record is from RNAcentral.
GACGAACGCUGGCGGCGUGCUUAACACAUGCAAGUCGAACGGAAAGGCCUGCUUUCCCUUGUGGAUUGCGGGUACUCGAGUGGCGAACGGGUGAGUAACACGUGAGUGAUCUGCCCCCAACUUGGGUAUAAGGCUGGGAAACUGGGUCUAAUUCCCGAUAGGACUGCAGGGUGGUGCCUGUGGUGGAAAACGAUUUUCUAGUGGUUGGGGAUGAGCUCGCGGCCUAUCAGCUUGUUGGUGGGGUAAUGGCCUACCAAGGCGGCGACGGGUAGCCGGCCUGAGAGGGUGGACGGCCACAUUGGGACUGAGAUACGGCCCAGACUCCUACGGGAGGCAGCAGUGGGGAAGAUUGCACAAUGGGCGGAAGCCUGAUGCAGCGACGCCGCGUGGGGGAUGACGGCCUUCGGGUUGUAAACUCCUUUCGACCGCGAGGAAGCCACCUGGUUGGAAGGGUGGUGACGGUAGUGGUAGAAGAAGCACCGGCUAACUACGUG